UGCAGUCGAACGAUGAACCGCUUCGGUGGUGGAUUAGUGGCGAACGGGUGAGUAACACGUGGGCAAUCUGCCCUUCACUCUGGGACAAGCCCUGGAAACGGGGUCUAAUACCGGAUAACACUCUGUCCCGCAUGGGACGGGGUUGAAAGCUCCGGCGGUGAAGGAUGAGCCCGCGGCCUAUCAGCUUGUUGGUGGGGUAAUGGCCUACCAAGGCGACGACGGGUAGCCGGCCUGAGAGGGCGACCGGCCACACUGGGACUGAGACACGGCCCAGACUCCUACGGGAGGCAGCAGUGGGGAAUAUUGCACAAUGGGCGAAAGCCUGAUGCAGCGACGCCGCGUGAGGGAUGACGGCCUUCGGGUUGUAAACCUCUUUCAGCAGGGAAGAAGCGAAAGUGACGGUACCUGCAGAAGAAGCGCCGGCUAACUACGUGCCAGCAGCCGCGGUAAUACGUAGGGCGCAAGCGUUGUCCGGAAUUAUUGGGCGUAAAGAGCUCGUAGGCGGCUUGUCACGUCGGAUGUGAAAGCCCGGGGCUUAACCCCGGGUCUGCAUUCGAUACGGGCUAGCUAGAGUGUGGUAGGGGAGAUCGGAAUUCCUGGUGUAGCGGUGAAAUGCGCAGAUAUCAGGAGGAACACCGGUGGCGAAGGCGGAUCUCUGGGCCAUUACUGACGCUGAGGAGCGAAAAGCGUGGG
Molecule: ribosomal RNA, 693 nt
Filed under: Streptomyces sp. KLBMP 03716
Lineage: Bacteria; Bacillati; Actinomycetota; Actinomycetes; Kitasatosporales; Streptomycetaceae
Description: bacterial SSU rRNA
Rfam family: Bacterial small subunit ribosomal RNA
Source: RNAcentral